This 497-nucleotide ribosomal RNA is filed under the name uncultured bacterium. Its description in RNAcentral is "partial 16S ribosomal RNA". It matches the Rfam family "Bacterial small subunit ribosomal RNA", at positions 28 to 507 of the family's 1533-position model. The record is from RNAcentral.
GACGAACGCUGGCGGCGUGCUUAACACAUGCAAGUCGAGCGAACGGACCAGACGCUUGCUUCUCUGAUGUUGGCGGCGGACGGGAGAGUAACACGUGGAUAACCUACCUAUAAGACUGGGAUAACUUCGGGAAACCGGAGCUAAUACCGGAUAAUAUUCUGAACCGCAUGGUUCAAAAGUGAAAGACGGUCUUUCUGUCACUUAUAGAUGGAUCCGCGCUGGAUUAGCUAGUUGGUAAGGUAACGGCUUAGCAAGGCAACGAUGCAUAGCCGACCUGAGAGGGGGGUAGGCCACCCGGGAGGGGAGCCGGCGUCAAGACUCCUGAGAGAGGCAGCAGUCGGGAAUCUUACGCAAUGGUGGGGAGCCUGACAGAGCAAGCGGGCGUGAGUGAUGAAGGUGUUGGGAUCGGGAAGCCCUGUUAUUAGGGGAGAACAUAUGUGUGAGGGGCUGUGGAGAUAUUGACGGUACCUGAUCAGAAAGCCACGGCUAACUACGUG